This 776-nucleotide ribosomal RNA is filed under the name uncultured Neocallimastigales. RNAcentral describes it as "partial large subunit ribosomal RNA". It matches the Rfam family "Eukaryotic large subunit ribosomal RNA", at positions 19 to 646 of the family's 3401-position model. Lineage: Eukaryota; Fungi; Neocallimastigomycota; Neocallimastigomycetes; Neocallimastigales. The record is from RNAcentral.
CGAGCACGCGCGUGUGGCAUAUCAAUAAGCGGAGGAAAAGAAACUAACAAGGAUUCCCUUAGUAACGGCGAGUGAAGCGGGAAGAGCUCAAAUUUGAAAUCUCCAAGGUUCUACCUUGACGAAUUGUAGUUUAUAGAAGUGUUUUCUGUUAGUGGAGUGGCAAAAGUUCUUUGGAAUAGGACAUCAUAGAGGGUGAGAAUCCCGUAUUUGGUCAUUCCUCCUAGCGUUGUGAUACACUUUCAACGAGUCGGAUUGUUUGGGAAUGCAGUCCAAAAUGGGUGGUAAAUUUCAUCUAAAGCUAAAUAUUGACGAGAGACCGAUAGCGAACAAGUACCGUGAGGGAAAGAUGAAAAGAACUUUGAAAAGAGAGUUAAACAGUACGUGAAAUUGUCAAAAGGGAAGCGUUUGACACCAGUGUUGUUUUUCCGAAAAUCAAUUACGAAUGUUUUAGUUUUUGAGGAGUUAUGACUUCAUCGGCUUGCUCCUUUCUUUAUGAAACUUUCUUAAUGCACUUUUCGGUUAACAAGUCAACAUCAAUUUCUUUUAUUGUAAAAGGGUAUGAGGAAGGUGGCUUUCUUUUCGGAGAAAGUGUUUAUAGCCUUGUGCCUCUACAAUCGGAGAGAUUGAGGUCUGCAGCGUAGAUCCUUCGGGGUUAGAUACAUUUGUGCUAAGUUAUAGCUUUUCAUAGACAACUUGUUGACUAUGUUUAGUCUUGUAGCUUACUCGCUUACUGCUAUUUUACCUACGCUUAGGAUGUUGAUGUGAUACUGCGAGCA